CUAAAGUGUUUAAUGGCACUUGUAAUCCAUUACCCACCUUGUGUGCAUUGUCAAGGAGGGAAGGAUGAUCCCCCCUUGGGGUAUUUUUUUCCCUCUUUUUCAUUCCACUCUUUCUUUAACAUCAGUCUACAUCAAUUGAGAAGUAAAAAAUCUCUAAUA
RNAcentral lists this unclassified non-coding RNA (159 nucleotides) under uncultured fungus. RNAcentral's name for it is "sequence contains ITS1". The record is from RNAcentral. Lineage: Eukaryota; Fungi.